UGGAUCAGAACGAACGCUGGCUCCGUGCUUAAACAUGCAAGUCGAGCGGUAAGGCCCUUCGGGGUACACGAGCGGCGAACCGGUGAGUAACACGUGGGCAACCUGCCCUGCACUCUGGGAUAAGCCCGGGAAACUGGGUCUAAUACCGGAUAUGACCUUGGAUCGCAUGAUCUGGGGUGGAAAGUUCCGGCGGUGCAGGAUGGGCCCGCGGCCUAUCAGCUUGUUGGUGGGGUAAUGGCCUACCAAGGCUUCGACGGGUAGCCGGCCUGAGAGGGUGACCGGCCACACUGGGACUGAGACACGGCCCAGACUCCUACGGGAGGCAGCAGUGGG
RNAcentral lists this ribosomal RNA (333 nucleotides) under uncultured Actinomycetales bacterium. RNAcentral describes it as "bacterial SSU rRNA". It matches the Rfam family "Bacterial small subunit ribosomal RNA", at positions 20 to 358 of the family's 1533-position model. Lineage: Bacteria; Bacillati; Actinomycetota; Actinomycetes; Actinomycetales. The record is from RNAcentral.